RNAcentral lists this ribosomal RNA (598 nucleotides) under Bacillus sp. Bac151W4. Its description in RNAcentral is "partial 16S ribosomal RNA". It matches the Rfam family "Bacterial small subunit ribosomal RNA", at positions 684 to 1286 of the family's 1533-position model. Lineage: Bacteria; Bacillati; Bacillota; Bacilli; Caryophanales; Bacillaceae. The record is from RNAcentral.
AAAUACGGUUGAGAGGGGGGAACCCCCGUGGGAAAAGCGUUUCUCUGGCCGGAAUUUACUUCUAGGAGCUAAAUCUCGGGACCGAACAGGGCUUAGACCCCCUGUUUUCCCCCCCAUAAAUGGGAAUUCACAAGUUUCAGGGGGAUUCCCCCCCUCAGUUUUGCAACUAAAGUUUAAAGCUUUCAACUUGGGGAUUCCCGGUUGCACCCGGGAAUUCAAAAGAAUUUUUAGGGGACCCGCACAAGAGCCCGAGCCACCCAUUAAUUCCGAACAACGCUAAGCACCUUUACAUUCCUUGCAUUCUUUCACAAACCUAGGAGUAAGUCUUUUCCUUUGGCGGCCAAAGGAACAAGCGGUCACUGGUGCUCUUAAUCUCCUUUCACAAGAUUUUGGUAAAUUCCAACACUUAGCCCAACCGUGGAUGUUAGUUGCCAGCAUUCAGUUGGGCACUGUAAGGUGACUACCGGUGACAAACCGGAGGAAGGUGGGGAUGACGUCAAAUCAUCAUGCCCCUUAUGACCUGGGGUUCACACGUGCUACAAUGGACAGAACAAAGGGUCCCCAACCAGCAAAGUUUAGCCAAUUCCACCAAUUUGUU